Molecule: ribosomal RNA, 467 nt
Filed under: uncultured bacterium
Lineage: Bacteria
Description: partial 16S ribosomal RNA
Rfam family: Bacterial small subunit ribosomal RNA
Source: RNAcentral
GACGAACGCUGGCGGCGUGCUUAACACAUGCAAGUCGAACGGAAAGGCCCUGCUUUUGUGGGGUGCUCGAGUGGCGAACGGGUGAGUAACACGUGAGUAACCUGCCCUUGACUUUGGGAUAAGUUAAGGAAACUGGGGCUAAUACAGGAUCGGAGCCCCUGCUGCGUGGUGGGGGUGGGAAAGUUUGGGCGGUUGGGGAUGGACUCGCGGUUUAUGCGCUUGUUGGUGGGGUGGUGGCUUACCAAGGCUUUGAUGGUUAGCCGGCCUGGGAGGGUGACCGGCUCCAGUGGCCCUGGGGUGCGGCCCAGGCGCAUUCGGGGGGCAGCGGUGGGGGAUUUAGCACGAUGGGCGGAGGGCGGAAGCAGCGACGCCGGGUGCGGGAUGACGGCCUUCGGGUAGUAAGCCGCUUUCGCUUGUGACGAGGCGUGAGUGCGGUUACUGAGGAAAGAGGCACCGGCAACUUCCUU